AUGGAGGUUCCAACUGAUUCUCCAAUCGUUCACGAUGGAAUUCUUCUUGAAAAAGAACAGUUGAUGAACAAAGAUAAAGAUGAUAGAUUGACAAAUUGGCGUCUUAUCAUAACUGCUGCAGUUGUUUCUUGUUUGAAUGCUGUCGAAAAUUCAGUUCUAGGAAUUGGAGAAUGGCCUUACAUGAGAGAAAUUGACCCAAAUGCAACUGCUCAAUUUUUCGGGCUUGCAACAUCAGCUUCCAAAUGCGGACAUGCCGUUUUUGCGCUGAUUUUUUCCAUUUGGAGCUAUAAAACGAGCUCUGUGAAAAUUCCACUUAUUGCAAGUAGAUUAAUCGCAAUUGCUGCAUGUAUGAUCUACUUAACCAUUGAAUAUGUGAAAACUGAUAAAAGAUAUGUACUGAUGGCAGUGUAUACUUUACUGGGUAUUGCAAAUAGUGGGGGAACGGUUCUUCGUGGAUAUGUUACAUUGUGCUCUUCAAACGAAGAUCGUCCACGAGCUUUUGCUGCACUUGGAUUGUCAUUUAUUUUUUCGAUUAUUGUUGGACCAACGAUUCAAUUAAUCUUCAGCGCGAUCCCAUACCCGGGGUAUGAGAUAAUUCCAGGAAUUUGGUUCCAUUUAUAUUCGGCACCAAUUUGGAUUUCGUUUAUUCUCACUAUUCUGACAGUCUUCGUUAUUUUAAUUUUGAUAGAAGAUAUUUCUAGAGAAAAGAAAACUAAGUUGAGGCCAAGUGAAUCACAGUCGAGCUUUUCAAUGGAACGUUGGAGAUCUUUAUAUGAAAAAUUGAAGAAAAGCAAUUUGGACUGGAAACUUAUUGUAGUAUGCUUCUUUGUGAGAAUGGCUGUUUCCUUUUCUCAUAGUACACUGUCAACGAUAGGAUCCAUUCUUUACAUGGUUAUGUUUGGGUGGGAUGGUGCAACUACAGUUCGAGUGGGAUCAAUCACAAUGGUCAUUUUUGGAGUGAUGUCAUCUACCAUACUACUUCUCUAUAUUUUCUGUCAUUUCGGAAAAAUUCUCCCACAGCACAAAGUCUUCUUAUUCUUCACAAUUGCAUUUGGCGCAGUCUAUAUAAUCACGUAUCCAUUUGAGUUUACAAGUAAUCCAGUUGCCAAAUACAAUGAAACCACUCGCGCUGGGUGCAACCCUGAGGAGUACUCAUGGUGUUCGACUGCUUUGGCGGUCAAUCCAAUGCUAUAUCUUUCCGUAACUAUAUUGGUUGCCGGAAUGUCCAUUCCGAUAAUGAGCACUGCUUUGGAUACAGUUUACUCAAGAAUUCUGGGAAAUAUUGACCAAUCUGUUGCUCAUGGUGCAAUGGCAGUAAUCGAUGACAUCUUGUACAUGAUCACACCAAUUUUUACAACAACAAUGUUUACAUUAUACGGAAUUGGCCCAUUAUGGAUUGUCAAAUCGAUGGCUUUUGCUACCGAUCCCUUGUAUCAUAUAGCCUUUACACGUUUCUCCAAUUGGUGUUUCCUUUCAUCUACACUUCAAUAUUCUUACUUUUUGCGUUUUUGGAAGUGGACUAUACUCCAAUGACAUGUGCAAUUCCACUUGCAAUGGGUUCCAAGACAUUUGUAACUUGGUCAUUCUCAAAUAUGGCGUUGAAUGCGUUUACAAUGAUGCUAUACACAUCGGUUUAUUUUUUAGUACGGAAAAAAGAAACUGGUCAAAAAUUCAAAGCAGUCUUUAAGUCUAUUUUUAUCACUGCAACACUCGUUAUUAUUGGUUGGACUGUUACGUGCAUCUCCAACACAUUUGUCGUGCUAUUUGUUCUAUACGGAAAACAAAUAGUGAACAUGUACGCGGGCAUUCCAGUGAACAUAGCAUGUGCCUCAAAUAUCUUUGUUUUUUACCGAAUCAACCUAGACUACCGCAGUGGUAUCAGAAAAAUAUUUCCAUGCAAAACUACCACAGUGGGUUCGAUACAUGUGCAUAUUGAAAGAAACGCGUCAAUAACUACACCUGGACACUCUCCAAAUACAAAUUAA
This 1985-nucleotide unclassified non-coding RNA is filed under the name Caenorhabditis elegans. RNAcentral's name for it is "Non-coding transcript of protein-coding gene srsx-34". The record is from RNAcentral. Lineage: Eukaryota; Metazoa; Nematoda; Chromadorea; Rhabditida; Rhabditidae.